GGGAUAGGCUGAACGAUCGCUGCUGUCUGUAAUAGAGAGGAGAGGAAAGUCCGGACUCCAUAGGGCGUGGUGCCAGGUAACACCUGGGGAGUGAAAACUUACGGAUAGUGCCACAGAAAAUAUACCGCCAUUCUAUAAGUAUCUAGUAUGGUAAGGGUGAAAUGGUGCGGUAAAAGCGCACCGCAUCAAUGGUAACAUUGAUGGCAGGGUAAACCCCACCAGGAGCAAGACCAAAUAAGAGAAUAACCGUGUUGCCCGCACGAUUCUCGGGUAGGUCGCUUGAGUGCUAUGGUGACGUAGUGCCUAGAUGAAUGAUCGUUGUGAUUUGUUGUAUAAAUCAUACAGAACCCGGCUUAUAGGCCCAUUCCCUAU
RNAcentral lists this RNase P RNA (372 nucleotides) under Achromatium sp. WMS3. RNAcentral's name for it is "Bacterial RNase P class A". It matches the Rfam family "Bacterial RNase P class A". Rfam says of the family: Ribonuclease P (RNase P) is a ubiquitous endoribonuclease, found in archaea, bacteria and eukarya as well as chloroplasts and mitochondria. The record is from Rfam by way of RNAcentral. Lineage: Bacteria; Pseudomonadati; Pseudomonadota; Gammaproteobacteria; Thiotrichales; Thiotrichaceae.